AAAAAGGAAGAAAAUUAUUACAAAAAAGCGAUGCAACGUCAAAUCAGUCAAGAAGAAAAAGAUCAAGUGAAAUAUUACGAAAACUUGUUAACUAAAAUUAAAUCUCUGAAUUGUAAGUG
Molecule: non-coding RNA, 119 nt
Organism: Spodoptera litura
Lineage: Eukaryota; Metazoa; Arthropoda; Insecta; Lepidoptera; Noctuidae
Source: RefSeq, a predicted model, not a curated record